GUUCGGGUUCGGUUUGGAUCUUUGCGGGUUUGGUUCGGAUUAAGAUAACCCAUUAAAAUUAUUUUUAAAAUUUUAAAAUUCAUUUUUUAAUUUAAAUUUCUCAAAAUAUACAAACAAAAUAAUAUAUCACAUAUAAAUUUGAAUAACAUAUAUCAAAAUACCUAAACUUAACAUAUAAUUUGAUUUGGUUUGAAUAUUUGGAUAAAUAAUCAAUAGAUAUUUCAAGUAUUUUUGGUGUUUUGGGUAUAUUUUAGCUAUUUUAUUCAUUUACCUUUGACUAUUUGUAUAUAUUU
Molecule: long non-coding RNA, 293 nt
Filed under: Brassica napus (rape)
Lineage: Eukaryota; Viridiplantae; Streptophyta; Magnoliopsida; Brassicales; Brassicaceae
Description: long non-coding RNA (BNAP_LNC006744)
Source: RNAcentral